Molecule: ribosomal RNA, 305 nt
Filed under: uncultured bacterium
Lineage: Bacteria
Description: bacterial SSU rRNA
Rfam family: Bacterial small subunit ribosomal RNA
Source: RNAcentral
UAGAGCCUACGGGACGCAGCAGUGGGGAAUAUUGCACAAUGGGGGGAACCCUGAUGCAGCGACGCCGCGUGAGUGAAGAAGUAUUUCGGUAUGUAAAGCUCUGUCAGCAGGGAAGAAGAAAGACGGUACCUGACCAAGAAGCCCCGGCUAACUACGUGCCAGCAGCCGCGGUAAUACGUAGGGGGCAAGCGUCAUCCGGAUUUACUGGGUGUAAAGGGAGCGUAGACGGCAGUGCAAGUCUGAAGUGAAAGGCAAGGGCUCAACCCUUGGACUGCUUUGGAAACUGUGCUGCUCGAGUGUCGGAG